GUAGAAACCAUAAACCAAGUCAAUGUUUUUGGUUUAUUAAAAUAUCAAACUGAAAUCAACAGUUAAAAAGUAUUUUCAUAUUAUUGGUUUGGGAUGGUUUGGUUCGGAUUAGUCUAGUUGGACAGUUUGUGCAGGUUGAUGUACAGCCCUAGAUAAAUGUAUAAAUUUUGAUGUCUACAAAUUUAUUCUUUUUUGUUCAUUGAUUCCCCAUGUCUGUUAUGUUUUAAUUGUUUUACUUCAUAAAUUUGCCUCAAG
Molecule: unclassified non-coding RNA, 255 nt
Filed under: Hevea brasiliensis (rubber tree)
Lineage: Eukaryota; Viridiplantae; Streptophyta; Magnoliopsida; Malpighiales; Euphorbiaceae
Source: RNAcentral